CCAGUGAUCCCUGUAAACCGGAUGCCCUUCCCUUCGGCCCCUCAAACGCAGCGUAAUCUUUGGAUCAGGAGAGGCAGAGGCACACAGGCGGUGUGGACUUGGGCUCAGAUGGAGGUGAUGAGGAUGAAAAAGAAGAAAUUGCAUCAGUCCCACCUCGACUGGAAGCUGAAGCCGAUGUGUUAAUGUCAAAAGAUGAAGGGACAAUGCUAUGCUGUUGCAGCCUGUUUUUAAUCAGAAGAAGAAAGACCUCAAGUUCCUGUGAUUACAAGAUGGUACAACUACAAUGAAGCAGAUUCUCAAAGCUCAUAUGAAAGCCUAAACACACCUUGUUAUACUUUGUGUAUAACAUGAUCAGAACUGUCAGUGCUCCAAGGACUGAACGCUCUGCCACUGUCUUGUGUCAUUAGAUCCCCACUGUUGUGCAACCUGACCUCUGUGGUCUUGCCUGAGUCUUAUCCUCCUCCUCUUCCUCCUCUGCGCCCUGCCUUCUCUGUCAUAUCGGCUCAGGUUCAGGGCUGCUGCCCCGCCUGCCUCGGUGAACAUUCAACGCUGUCGGUGAGUUUGGUUUCAGUAGCACAUAAACCAUCGACCGUUGACUGUGCCCCGUGGCUUGCUCUUGCGACGUCAAACCUGAGCAAAAAAACGGGGGAAAAGACCAAAAAUGAACAAAAGGGCAAGUGGGCGCCACAUGCAAAUGCUGAGCUGGAAGCCACAUGUGCACAUGCUCAUAAGUGCCACUUUGUGUUCACUGUACCCAAAGACCAAAGGUCACAAUCAACAUUCAUUGCUGUCGCUGGGUUGGACUCUGUAAGAAAGCUCACUGAACAAUGAGUGCAACUGUGGCCCAGAUCUGCCUGACUCGCAUCUCAGCCAAUCAGACGACCGGAUGUGAAGCACUCUGAUUUCUUUAUUUAUGUACUUCUUGUUUUUCACUUCUAUUUUUUCCCCUCUCUUCCUCCCUCCCUGGUGCCAGGAGUUUUUAGAGAAGGGAGGCAGAGAGUUAGGCGGCACAAAUAGACUUCUGGCUGCCUGCUUGUCCUCAUCCUCCUCUUCUCUCCUCUAAUUGAUGGUUAUGUGUGCAGCAUGGGGGAAGGAAGCCGAGUGAAUGUGUAAUCAUUUGGAGUCUCUUCUCCUUUAGAUGUUUCAUCCCUCUCUUUUUUGUUUGUCUAAUUAUAUACUGAGCUCAGUUAACUGUGUGUCUGUGCUGGCAGGGAAGGCAUAUUUGCAAAAAAAGGAGGACAAUGGAAGGAAAAAGAAGAUUACAGCUUUAGAAAAAAUAAAUCUAGUUUUGAGUUUAUUUCUCAUAAUAAUUUCCCUGAUGCUCCUGCAGAUAUAUUUGAAUAAAAGCAAUUUUGCAGUAAAAAAAAAAAAAAAAGAGUACUUCCACCUUUUUGAUGAAAGAUGUCUAAUUAUCUAUAUUUAAAUGUCUUGGUGUCCUACCAGUCCCUGUCUGUGUGUGUGCUUGUGCCGCUCUCCAUGAUAGAGGACGUGUCUACUGAUCACAGGGUGCAAUGAGUUAUUUUACUUCAACACCGAAGCCAGCUCUCUCACGGGGAAAAAAAAUAACCCUGUCUUUCUUCACAGUCUGCGACCCACAGUACUGCAGCCUUCUGUGAUACCUCUCAAACACUGUGUCCUAUAACAGUUAUUCAUGUAAGGUAAACACACACACAGCUGAAAACCAGAUGUUUACAUACACUGUUAAAAAAAGACACAUAACCUUUAUAUCUGUUACCAAAAUUAUUUCUAUUUGCUACAUGCCAGAAUGAUGAGCAUGAAAAGAGAUUUAAAGUAAUUUUUUCUUUUAACUUUUUUCAAGCCAGAAGUUCACAUACAAUUUCUUAGUAUUUGGUAGCAUUGACUUUCAAAUGUUAUGACUCGGUUCAAACAUCUUGGGAUUCUACGACCUUCUCACAACAGUUUUGCAUUCCUACUGACAGAACUGGUGUAACUAAGUCAUGUUUGUAGGCUUCAUCAUUCACACACACCUUUUCUGAUGAGCCCUCAAAUAUUAAAUGACUCUGAUAUCAGGGCUUUGUGAUGGCCACUCCAAAACAUUGGACAUUGUAGCUUAUUUAGUGGUAUGUUCACGGUCGUUGUCCAUUUUGAAGACCAAUUUGUGCCCAAGAUUUCAACUGCCUGGUUGACAUCUUUGGGAGGUUUGAAUAUUUCCACAAAACAUUGUUUCCUCAUAAUGCUAUCUAAUUUGUGAAGUGCACCAGUCCCUCCUGCAGCAAAACACCCCCACAAUAUGAUGCUGACUCACCUAUACUUUACAGUUGAGAUGACAUUCUCAGGCUUGUAAGCUCCCCUUUUUAAUUUAAAUCCACCUAUGGUCAUUAUGGCUAAACCAUUAAAUUUUCUUUUACCAGACCACCAGACAUGUCUCCAGAAAAUGAAGGUCGUUCUCCCUGAGUGCAAAUGCAAACUAAUCUGUUUUAUUAUGUUGCUCUUGGAAUAAUGGCUUAUUCCUCUCUGAGUCACCUUUCAGCCCAUGUCAGAGGACCCCUAUUUAGUGUUGAUAAUGACCAGCUGCAACCAACAUCUUUACGAGGUCUUCUUCUUUCGUUCUGGAGUUCUUGGUUAAUUUCCUUUGAUUUUUCCUUGAUGUCAAAAAAAGGAAGCAGUGUACUUGAGGAGUAGUCUUACAAGGCAUCCACAGAUAUGCCCCCAAGUACCUCAAAUUGUUUAAAGGCAUAUAGUAAUCUUAGUCUAUGUAAACCGUUCACUUUGAAGAAACUAAUACAAAAUUCUCCCAAAAAAAUCUUAUUAUUCUGGAAAUGUAUCAAAUGGAAAUAAUUUAGAUAACUCUACCUGACCUAAAACAGGAAAGGUUUCGUCUGAUUUAAUGUCAGACUGGGGAAAAAAUGGCUAUACGUCUGCGCAGAGAAUGUAAAUAUCUGAUUUCAGCUACAUUUGUUUGUCCUUAUUCCUGCAACAACCUUUCUCAAGUGAUUUCCUAACUACGUCAAUAAAGUUCAAUUCCAGACCAAUU
This is a long non-coding RNA of Girardinichthys multiradiatus, 2995 nucleotides long. RefSeq lists it as uncharacterized. Lineage: Eukaryota; Metazoa; Chordata; Actinopteri; Cyprinodontiformes; Goodeidae. The transcript is spliced from 2 exons. The record is from RefSeq and is a predicted model, not a curated record.